Pantoea vagans C9-1 is the source of this 101-nucleotide non-coding RNA. Lineage: Bacteria; Pseudomonadati; Pseudomonadota; Gammaproteobacteria; Enterobacterales; Erwiniaceae. The record is from Rfam.
GGCCGCAUUGCGGCAUACAGGGUCCAGUGACUAAAAGCCCCGAAUAUUCGGGGUUUUUUGUUAUUAGCGAAUCGUAAUACUGGGCUAUAGGCCCUUUUUUU